RNAcentral lists this ribosomal RNA (425 nucleotides) under uncultured bacterium. RNAcentral's name for it is "partial 16S ribosomal RNA". It matches the Rfam family "Bacterial small subunit ribosomal RNA", at positions 354 to 796 of the family's 1533-position model. The record is from RNAcentral.
GUGGGGAAUCUUGCGCAAUGGGCGAAAGCCUGACGCAGCCAUGCCACGUGAAUGAUGAAGGUCUUAGGAUUGUAAAAUUCUUUCACCGGGGACGAUAAUGACGGUACCCGGAGAAGAAGCCCCGGCUAACUUCGUGCCAGCAGCCGCGGUAAUACGAAGGGGGCUAGCGUUGCUCGGAAUUACUGGGCGUAAAGGGCGCGUAGGCGGACAGUUUAGUCAGAGGUGAAAGCCCAGGGCUCAACCUUGGAAUUGCCUUUGAUACUGGCUGUCUUGAGUACGGGAGAGGUGAGUGGAACUCCGAGUGUAGAGGUGAAAUUCGUAGAUAUUCGGAAGAACACCAGUGGCGAAGGCGACUCACUGGCCCGUUACUGACGCUGAGGCGCGAAAGCGUGGGGAGCAAACAGGAUUAGAAACCCAGGUAGUCC